This 301-nucleotide ribosomal RNA is filed under the name uncultured bacterium. RNAcentral describes it as "partial 16S ribosomal RNA". It matches the Rfam family "Bacterial small subunit ribosomal RNA", at positions 509 to 807 of the family's 1533-position model. The record is from RNAcentral.
CAGCCGCCGCGGGAAUACAGAGGGUGCGAGCGUUAAUCGGAUUUACUGGGCGUAAAGCGUGCGUAGGCGGCUAAUUGAGUCGGAUGUGAAAUCCCCGAGCUUAACUUGGGAAUUGCAUUCGAUACUGGUUAGCUAGAGUGUGGGAGAGGAUGGUAGAAUUCCAGGUGUAGCGGUGAAAUGCGUAGAGAUCUGGAGGAAUACCGAUGGCGAAGGCAGCCAUCUGGCCUAAUACUGACGCUGAGGUACGAAAGCAUGGGGAGCAAACAGGAUUAGAUACCCGAGUAGUCCCUGUCUCUUAUAC